This 497-nucleotide ribosomal RNA is filed under the name uncultured bacterium. Its description in RNAcentral is "bacterial SSU rRNA". It matches the Rfam family "Bacterial small subunit ribosomal RNA", at positions 43 to 524 of the family's 1533-position model. The record is from RNAcentral.
CAGGCCUAACACAUGCAAGUCGAACGAGGUUUGGUCAGUUUGCGGUGGUGCUUGCAUCACCAAUUACAGAUCAAACCGAGUGGCGGACGGGUGAGUAACACGUGGGUAACCUGCCCUUCAGCAGGGGAUAACAUUUGGAAACAGAUGCUAAUACCGUAUAACCACGGAGACCGCAUGGUCUCCGGGUAAAAGAUGGCGCAAGCUAUCACUGAAGGAUGGACCCGCGGCGUAUUAGCCAGUUGGUGGGGUAAAGGCCUACCAAGGCGACGAUCCGUAGCUGGUCUGAGAGGAUGAUCAGCCACACUGGGACUGAGACACGGCCCAGACUCCUACGGGAGGCAGCAGUGGGGAAUAUUGGACAAUGGGCGCAAGCCUGAUCCAGCAAUGCCGCGUGAGUGAUGAAGGCCUUAGGGUUGUAAAGCUCUUUUACCCGGGAUGAUAAUGACAGUACCGGGAGAAUAAGCCCCGGCUAACUCCGUGCCAGCAGCCGCGGUAAU